Molecule: ribosomal RNA, 483 nt
Filed under: uncultured bacterium
Lineage: Bacteria
Description: partial 16S ribosomal RNA
Rfam family: Bacterial small subunit ribosomal RNA
Source: RNAcentral
AUUGAACGCUGGCGGCAGGCCUAACACAUGCAAGUCGAGCGGAUGAAGGGAGCUUGCUCCUGGAUUCAGCGGCGGACGGGUGAGUAAUGCCUAGGAAUCUGCCUGGUAGUGGGGGAUAACGUCCGGAAACGGGCGCUAAUACCGCAUACGUCCUAAGGGAGAAAGUGGGGAUCUUCGGACCUCACGCUAUCAGAUGAGCCUAGGUCGGAUUAGCUAGUUGGUGGGGUAAAGGCCUACCAAGGCGACGAUCCGUAACUGGUCUGAGAGGAUGAUCAGUCACACUGGAACUGAGACACGGUCCAGACUCCUACGGGAGGCAGCAGUGGGGAAUAUUGGACAAUGGGCGAAAGCCUGAUCCAGCCAUGCCGCGUGUGUGAAGAAGGUCUUCGGAUUGUAAAGCACUUUAAGUUGGGAGGAAGGGCAGUAAGUUAAUACCUUGCUGUUUUGACGUUACCAACAGAAUAAGCACCGGCUAACUUCGUG